This 373-nucleotide ribosomal RNA is filed under the name uncultured bacterium. RNAcentral's name for it is "bacterial SSU rRNA". It matches the Rfam family "Bacterial small subunit ribosomal RNA", at positions 525 to 896 of the family's 1533-position model. The record is from RNAcentral.
ACGUAGGGUGCGAGCGUUAAUCGGAAUUACUGGGCGUAAAGCGUGCGCAGGCGGUUUCGUAAGACAGAUGUGAAAUCCCCGGGCUUAACCUGGGAACUGCGUUUGUGACUGCGAGACUCGAGUGCGGCAGAGGGGGGUGGAAUUCCACGUGUAGCAGUGAAAUGCGUAGAGAUGUGGAGGAACACCGAUGGCGAAGGCAGCCCCCUGGGUCGACACUGACGCUCAUGCACGAAAGCGUGGGUAGCAAACAGGAUUAGAUACCCUGGUAGUCCACGCCCUAAACGAUGCGAACUAGGUGUUGGAGAAGGAGACUUCUUUAGUACCGCAGCUAACGCGUGAAGUUCGCCGCCUGGGGAGUACGGUCGCAAGAUUA